UACGGAGGGUGCGAGCGUUAUCCGGAUUCACUGGGUUUAAAGGGUGCGUAGGUGGGUUUGUAAGUCAGUGGUGAAAUCUCCAGGCUUAACCUGGAAACUGCCAUUGAUACUAUAGAUCUUGAAUUUUCUGGAGGUAAGCGGAAUAUGUCAUGUAGCGGUGAAAUGCUUAGAUAUGACAUAGAACACCAAUUGCGAAGGCAGCUUACUACAGGGACAUUGACACUGAGGCACGAAAGCGUGGGGAUCAAACAGG
Molecule: ribosomal RNA, 253 nt
Filed under: uncultured bacterium
Lineage: Bacteria
Description: partial 16S ribosomal RNA
Rfam family: Bacterial small subunit ribosomal RNA
Source: RNAcentral